UGUAUUGUCAUCAAAGUGGAUGUGUUGUAAUGCUUUGUUUUUAUUGGCAUUUUGCAGAUGAAAAUGGAAAUUAUCCACCCUUUAAAACCAGAGGGAUUUUGACUGGCAAGUGUAAUUAUUUCAGGGGUCAUGACUACAUGUAUUUGGUGAGAAUAAUGAAUAUGAAACGAUGACAUGUAUGAUGGCGAGUACUUUGUAGACAAAAUGCAUUGGGUGAAACUGAAACGGGUCAAACUGGUUGAAGGUUGUCAGUAUGUCAUUAAUUUGUUGUACCCAACCCGAACCUACCCAUUACUUGACCCGUCUACUGUGCCACCACUACUUCUUCGUAGAAAAUGCCAGUUGAUCUGUGAUUUUUGUUCUGCAACAGGUCCAACAUUUUAAAACUAAAGGUGGCAUUGCAUUGAACAACAACUUUGAGAGAAUGAGGUUACAUGUAUGCUUUCUAACUAUCCAUCCAUCAUCAGACCUUCAAAUCGCUCCACCGAUCUUUGUUUUAGUCUGACAUGAUGGUUUUUGUUGCUGUAUUUGAAUUAACCAUGUGGUCGACUUGAUUCGCCACAUGGUAAAGUUUUGAAGCUGUUAUAGCACGAGUUAGCAGGCUUGUCACGAGCACAGUUUUGCCUACCACGUUGUGAUUAUUUACAUGUAAAUGUUGGUUAUGAGAAGGUGCUGAAACGAAGGAGCCAACAACUAUGGAAGAGAAGCAACAUAAACAGCCUAUGGUCAAUAUACAAAGACGUCAAACUAAUGACAGCAGCGGAAAGAUUAUCAUUUUUAACAUACAUGUGUGAAUUUAUUCACGAAUAAUCCAAGAUACACUUGCGAGUGAAAACCAACUAUUGUCGCUCCUUAACAUAUGCCGGAUACAACAGGUUCAUGGCGCGCCCCACCAACUAUUGUAGCUGCUUAACAAAUGCCCGAUGCAACAGGUUCAUGGUGCGCCCAACGAAUGGCUAAGAAACGGAUUCAACUAUUAUGACUUUGUUGCAACUUAAACCUAUCAAAUACAUUAAUGAUACAAUGUUUGUAUGUAGUUC
Molecule: long non-coding RNA, 1040 nt
Organism: Helianthus annuus (common sunflower)
Lineage: Eukaryota; Viridiplantae; Streptophyta; Magnoliopsida; Asterales; Asteraceae
Exons: 3
Source: RefSeq, a predicted model, not a curated record